AUUGUACGCUGGCGGCAGGCCUAACACAUGCAAGUCGAACGGUAACAGGAAGCAGCUUGCUGCUUCGCUGACGAGUGGCGGACGGGUGAGUAAUGUCUGGGAAGCUGCCUGAUGGAGGGGGAUAACUACUGGAAACGGUAGCUAAUACCGCAUAAUGUCGCAAGACCAAAGAGGGGGACCUUCGGGCCUCUUGCCAUCGGAUGUGCCCAGAUGGGAUUAGCUUGUUGGUGGGGUAACGGCUCACCAAGGCGACGAUCCCUAGCUGGUCUGAGAGGAUGACCAGCCACACUGGGACUGAGACACGGUCCAGACUCCUACGGGAGGCAGCAGUGGGGAAUAUUGCACAAUGGGCGCAAGCCUGAUGCAGCCAUGCCGCGUGUAUGAAGAAGGCCUUCGGGUUGUAAAGUACUUUCAGCGGGGAGGAAGGGAGUAAAGUUAAUACCUUUGCUCAUUGACGUUACCCGCAGAAGAAGCACCGGCUAACUCCGUG
Molecule: ribosomal RNA, 490 nt
Filed under: uncultured bacterium
Lineage: Bacteria
Description: partial 16S ribosomal RNA
Rfam family: Bacterial small subunit ribosomal RNA
Source: RNAcentral